RNAcentral lists this ribosomal RNA (546 nucleotides) under Meyerozyma guilliermondii. RNAcentral describes it as "eukaryotic LSU rRNA". It matches the Rfam family "Eukaryotic large subunit ribosomal RNA", at positions 50 to 601 of the family's 3401-position model. Lineage: Eukaryota; Fungi; Ascomycota; Pichiomycetes; Serinales; Debaryomycetaceae. The record is from RNAcentral.
GCGGAGGAAAAGAAACCAACAGGGAUUGCCUUAGUAGCGGCGAGUGAAGCGGCAAAAGCUCAAAUUUGAAAUCUGGCGCCUUCGGUGUCCGAGUUGUAAUUUGAAGAUUGUAACCUUGGGGUUGGCUCUUGUCUAUGUUUCUUGGAACAGGACGUCACAGAGGGUGAGAAUCCCGUGCGAUGAGAUGCCCAAUUCUAUGUAAGGUGCUUUCGAAGAGUCGAGUUGUUUGGGAAUGCAGCUCUAAGUGGGUGGUAAAUUCCAUCUAAAGCUAAAUAUUGGCGAGAGACCGAUAGCGAACAAGUACAGUGAUGGAAAGAUGAAAAGAACUUUGAAAAGAGAGUGAAAAAGUACGUGAAAUUGUUGAAAGGGAAGGGUUUGAGAUCAGACUCGAUAUUUUGUGAGCCUUGCCUUCGUGGCGGGGUGACCCGCAGCUUAUCGGGCCAGCAUCGGUUUGGGCGGUAGGAUAAUGGCGUAGGAAUGUGACUUUACUUCGGUGAAGUGUUAUAGCCUGCGUUGAUGCUGCCUGCCUAGACCGAGGACUGCGAU